UAAGGAGUAUUGCGCAAUGGGCGAAAGCCUGACGCAGCAACGCCGCGUGAAGGAUGAAAUCUUUCGGGAUGUAAACUUCGCAAGUGUGGGAAGAAACAAAUGACGGUACCACAAGUAAGCCCCGGCUAACUUCGUGCCAGCAGCCGCGGUAAUACGAAGGUGGCAAGCGUUAUUCGGAUUUACUGGGCGUACAGGGAGCGUAGGCGGUUCGGUAAGCCCUUUGUGAAAUCUCCAGGCUUAACCUGGAACAGUCGGAGGGGACUGCCGGGCUAGAGGACGGGAGAGGAGCGCGGAAUUCCCGGUGUAGCGGUGAAAUGCGUAGAGAUCGGGAGGAAGGCCGGUGGCGAAGGCGGCGCUCUGGAACGUUUCUGACGCUGAGGCUCGAAAGCGUGGGGAGCAAACAGGAUUAGAUACCCCUGUAGUCCCUGAGCGGGCUGGCAAGGCGCAU
Molecule: ribosomal RNA, 448 nt
Filed under: uncultured bacterium
Lineage: Bacteria
Description: bacterial SSU rRNA
Rfam family: Bacterial small subunit ribosomal RNA
Source: RNAcentral